GUGGUUGUCAUUCAUGUACACACCAUGCCUUGCCGAAUCAGCUUUGAGCUCCCUGAAACAGAUAAGGAAACUAAAUGUCAGAGAGUUCAAUAAUUUUCCCAAGAUCACGAAGCCAAUAAGUGAUGGAGUCAUGACUUAAAUUCAGGUCUUUUGAUGACACAACCCAGACUAAUUGGGAAAGAGCUUCACGGGUGCAUACCCUAGAAGAAAAAAGACUGUAAUUCAACUCUUCAGCAGCCAGGAUUGCCUGUCUCCAACCCCUUCUGAAUCUAGUUAUGUUGGAUACUGGGAGAGAAGCAUGUAGACUCUUUGGGCCUGACCUUUCUGAUUUUUCUCUAGAAGGGCUUCACUGAAGGGGCACAGAAGAAUAAUGUUUCUACAGCAUAGAUCCAGGGGCUCCUCCCCACCAGGAACCCAGCUUAGCAGGCAGGCUCUUCAUGUGGAACUCGCCAAAACCCCAUGCAGGUGGAUGUGCGGAAACACCAAAGAACUACACAAUUGUCCCUGCCUUUGGAAAGUCUCAUUCCCUGUCAUUCCUUCAUUCAGUCAACAAAUGUGGAGCACCCAGUGUGUGCUACGUUUUGAGGAUAAAGUGAUGAACAACACAGACAAGAUCCCUGCCCUUGUGGAGUCUAUAUUCAAACCAGAGCUUGACCUUCAAACUGAGAGACCAACUUAACAAAGGGGCCAUCUGGCCACUAACUGUUAUACACCCUCGGCUUGGGACACAUGGCCUCAGCCUUCCUCCACCUUCAAGUCUAAUAGGAGAGAGAUUUCAGAGUGGCCCAAACAAUCUAAAGUAAAAGUGAACAGAGUUCAAAAUAAGUCCACAAGGGCUGAGGGGAGACCAAGGAGAAGAUAAUGCAGUGAGGGCAGUGAGAGAGGGAUUCCUAGAGGAAUUGCACCUUGCUUUGAAUUUUAGCCCUAAGCUGCAAAUCCUAGCUAACUUCUAAGUAGAUGCUGACAGCUGGCUUCUAUUUGGCCCGCCAUAUUGAAUGACUGUCCCCAGGACAUGGUGGAGAUUUAGACAACCCAGGGCAGAAAAUCCUCUAAGAAAGGAAGUCUGAACUACACCACUGGCUUUCUGAAUGGACAGGAUUUGAGGAGCUGGGAUGGUAGUAGGGGAGAGGGCAGCUGGGUGGGGUUUCUUCCAGGAAACAAUGUGGAUGCAAGAUGCAGUCCUCAUCUCUGGCCUGCCCUUACCACUUUAGUAUUUCAGAUGAGUCAGCUCUCACUUUGCCACCUGCUUUCUGUAACUCUGCAGCAUGCCAGCAGCCUCCAGUCCACCCUCUCCUCCUCGCAGGGCUCUGGGGUGAAGCCCUCCCCGGGAACUCCCUGGCUCCCAGUACCCAUGGGAGAAGCUCUUUUCAACUGACAUGAUUUAUUUUAACAAUAAGGGAAAAAAACCACAUCUGAUUUCCACAGAAUUAGAGUUCCUCCUGACACGCCUGGACUUGCCAGUUGGGAAGGACACUCUCAAGGCAUCCUCUAUGCCAUUUGCCGUUCUGCUGUUCCUUUGCUUGGAGGGAAGAGAUACCUGUUUCUAUAGGGAGGAAGUUUGAAGUGAGAAGAGAAGAUAAAGAUUCUGUGAAUGGAAAGAGCACUGGACUGAGAGUUCAGGGAUGUGGCCUCCGGUCCCAGCUCCACCACUACUCAGUUGUCUGACGAAGAAAACAAAAAGUUGUGAUACAAUGUGGGUGACACAUUGCCUAGAAAGAAGUGCCAUUGUGAUACAUUUAUGUUGGUGGGAUGGGGGAAAGAAAUAACAGGUUUGUAUGGAGUGUUAUGAAAGAAUUAAAUCUUAACCUUCCAUUGGGGUAAGCUGAUGGAAACAACCAUAGCAAAGCACAGACUGAAUAUUUUUUUAUUCAGUCAGUAUUUUUUAUACAGUAAAAAAAAGUAUUGACAUAGGAGAAGGAAACAAAAAGUUGUCAGGAGUUAAUGAAUAGAAAUAUAGAAAUAUUGUUUUUUUUCUGGAUUUUAUGGUGUUUGUGCUAUUUGUUAGCUUUUAUGAAUUUGUAAUUUGUUGUAAUUUCUCUUUCUAAAUAAGUAUUUACUUUUUUCUCUAAUUUUGUCCAUCUGUUUUUGAAUUCAAUUUUCAAAUUCAAAAUGCUUCUCUCUGGGCCUCAGCUGUUUCCUCAUCUGUAAAUGAGAAGGCUGGGCCAGAUGCUCUUUCAUGUCUGGUGUAAUGAAGCCCUGGAGUGGGCUGCCUAUGACUGCACCCAGCUCUACCACACCCCACCUGGGUGUCUUUGGGUGAGGUACUUAGUAGCUCCAAGUCUCAUCUUCCUCAUCCAAAAUGAUGGGCACAAAAAUAGUAUUGACCUCAUGGAAUAGGUGUGAAGAUGAAAAGAGACAAUGCAUAUAGAUGCUUCACACAGACCCUGGGGCGGCAAAUGUGCUCAGUACUUGUUAGCUAUUAGUGUGAGUCUACUCUUUUAGUCUAUGAAUUUUGUUAGAGAAACUCCUGCUUACCAGGCCUCUGGUUUAAUAAAACAUGACUGGAGUGACUCCAUCCUGAAGUGAGUAGGCUAGGCACUCACAAGUCACCUAUAGAGUUAAUGCUUUAUGGUCUGAAAAUAGCCACAUUCUAAGCUCACCACCACUUAUAAUUACAGAAGAUUGAUGGCCAUAUAGGACAUCUCCCACCAACCCUGCAGAAUGUCCAGAUGUCCCAAGUACAGCCCACUUUACUCAGAGAUAACGUCAAUGAGCAGACUCAAGUUGAAGGAUUAAUGGUCACUAGAGCACCAACAGCCCCUACCUUUAGUGAGCACAUCUGCACAUUCCAAGUUUAAUCAUAGGUCCUUAUAGUUUCUUACAAGCAGAGAUGUUCCUAAAGGACAGGGGUUCCUCCUCCUGCUUUCUGGGCAUGCCCUACUCUCUAAUGGAGUAGUUUCCAAUAAAUUUGCUUCUUUGUCUGUGCUCCAAUUCUUUCCUGUGUGAGAUCUAAGAACCCACUCUUGGGGUCUAGAUUGGGAUCCUCUUUUCUGGCAACAUCUUGAGUAUGUGACCAUGAGAAAUGUUAGAAAUUGGAGUGAAAGGUACAUAAACAUUUGAACCCAAUACCAUUCUCUGGUUCUCCCAGAGACACAAGGCUAAGGAGAGUAGGACUCUGCCUUCUCCCAAAGCUGAUACCUCCCUGGGCCAAUGUGGGUGACACGUUGUCUAGAAAGAGGUGUCAUUGUGAUAUGUUUAUGUUGGUGGGAUGGGGGAAAGAAAUAACAGGUUUGUAUGGAGUGUUAUGAAAGAAUUAAAUCUUAACUUUCCAUUGGGGUAAGCUGAUGGAAACAACCAUAGCAAAGGACAGACUGAAUAUCUUUUUAUUCUCUCUAUAGAAAAUAACAGUAAAAAAAGUAUUGACAUAGAAGAAGGAAACAAAAAGUUGUCAGGAGUUAAUGAAUAAAGAUGUAUUUUUUUCUGGAUUUUGUGGUGUUUGUGGUAUUUGUUAGCUUUUAUGAAUUUGUAAUUUGUUGUAAUUUCUCUUUCUAAAUAAACAUUUACUUUUGUCCCUAAUUUUGUACUUCUAUUUUUGAAUUCAAUUUUUUUUCCGCAGACAGGGUCUCACUCUGUUGCCCAGGCUGGAGUGCAAUGGUGCAAUUAUAGCAGACUGCAGUCUUCAACUCCUGACCUCAAGCAAUUGUCCUGCCUCCUCAACUUCCUGACUACAG
Molecule: long non-coding RNA, 3671 nt
Organism: Pongo pygmaeus (Bornean orangutan)
Lineage: Eukaryota; Metazoa; Chordata; Mammalia; Primates; Hominidae
Exons: 3
Source: RefSeq, a predicted model, not a curated record